Non-coding RNA from Drosophila virilis, 761 nucleotides. Lineage: Eukaryota; Metazoa; Arthropoda; Insecta; Diptera; Drosophilidae. The record is from RefSeq and is a predicted model, not a curated record.
ACAAGCAGAAAUAUUCCACUUGUCAGAAACAAUUAUUUUUGUAAAUUGUAAAAAUAUUGUUGACCUUCAUUGGGUCUUGGCUGCAGCUAGGGCCAUGGCCAAAAAUUAUGAGCGGCAGUAAAACAACAAAUUUGCAUUUUUCACACGCCUGCUUGGGAAAAGCUCUAAUACUGCGAAGCCGGCCAAAAGUAAUCGACUGGCCAAAACCAGAAACAUGGAAACGUGGCCGCGUGUUAAAUGCAAACAACAUGACUCUGGCUGAAUACAAAGUCCGACUGGCUGGGAUACAAUAGCUGCGUGGGGUCGAGGCCGUCUCGUUUCAGCUGAAUGAAAAGGGAUUUUCGCUAUUCGUUUUUCAUAGUGCCUGCUGCUGAUGUUUCUCAUCUUGCUGGAUCCCAUAUGUUUAAUUUGUUUAACAUGCGCGUUUCACACGGUACAACAACAAACUGUGUGCCCGAGAGCGAUUGGUUGUCCUUCUGAUAUUGGCAUUGCUGCUGUUAAAUAACUUUCAAGUCGAGAGAUAUUCCUAUUAUUAUUCUGUAAUUUACAAUCGUUUAUUUAAAACGUUAUCUGAUCAUCCUAUUUUAAUUGUUGGUAUUAAUACAAGUUCACCCAUGGCCUGGACGUACUGUACGCACAAGCAGCAGGUCCUGUGGCUGUUUUGUCCCAACGUCAAGUUCCCUCGAUCUCACUCACUUUAUAAUUGAUUUAAAUGGCAUACACAAGUUAAGCUAAUGUCUAAAAACAUCACGUAACUGAGA